AGAAUCACAUCCCAUUUAUUGAUGGACCAAUGGUCAAUAUAAAUAUGCUGAUAUUUUUGGCAUUCCCAAAUAGAUCAAAUCAGAUUUACAAACCAUUUAGUCAUAUGUUUAUAUAUACAAAAAGUACGCCCAUUUACACAAAGAAGAAAUUUAAAACAAUACUAAUUUAUACAACUAAUAAUAUUCAUACAACCAAUAUCGACAUAUUUAUCGCCUCCAUCCAUGUAGCUGUUUUGUCUCCUCUAUCCUAGCAACAAUUCCGUCCCCUCCAACCUUGUAGCUGUUAUUUCGAGUUGGUUUGGCGCGGCGCAAUUGCCUUGUUUUUCCUAGAAAAAACAAGACAUAAAAUAGAUCGUUAUCCAAAAAGAUGAAAGUACGUUACAUAGAGGCAACUUGGUCAAUAAGCGAAUUCUAGAAAUAAACAGGACUUACUAAUAAUCAGUGGACCAUAAUAUUGUUCCCUAGAAAUAAGGCUGAUUAUACUGACAGACACAAACAGCCCACCAAAGAAGCUCAAUAACUAGUUAUUAUUAAUCAACAAGCACAUGCAUAUCUCGAAAAAUUCUAGAGAAAGGAUGCUUUAUUUUUGGUAUACGCUAAUUGUAGAUUAGCACUAUAGCAUAAAGAAUGGAAAAAUGACCAUCGGAAAUAGUAUGAGCUGAUGCAUGUUAUAAACUGCAAGGAUAAGGCAUGGUUGACGGCUAGCUUCUUCCUGUUUGCUAGUUCAUGUGCGUUAAACUGCAAACACAUAGAGAAGCAAAUCAGAUAGAGGAUAAACUCGCUCCGGCUAGCGGCCUUCCUCCAAAGCAUACGCUGUUGUCUUGAUGAGAAAAUGAUUUAUGGAACAACUAAAUGCUUUAAAAAAAACUUUAGAUCCAGACAGAGACAAGAAAGGGGCGUGUGAUCUACCUGCAGGAGCCUCGAUUCGUUGUCCUACUCGCGCGCGAUUGAUGUCGUGCUGGAGUUGAAGUUGGGCCACGGAACUGCGGAUGAAGUUGAGCCACGGUGGAGAGUGAGGGAAAGCACAGAGCAGAGGAAAGAAAGAAGAUGAGAAGCUCACCGCUGUCCAUAAGCCAGAUCCACCACGGCUGUAUCCACCAUGGUAGAUCCACCUCUACCUCCACACGGAUGUAUCCACCAGGGUUGCUCAUGUGACAGCUCUUAGAGAUCCAGAGCAGCAAGCUAAACUUAGAUAAAAUAGAAAGCAGAGAAGAGAGCUUGCUGGGAUGGGGUUCGGGGCGGCGGGGUGGGAAUGGCUGAGGGCGUGAUGCAGACAGGGUAGAGUAGCGUUAGGGUUCGUAGACUUUUAUUCCACACAUGUGGAUGGUCGGUCGUCAGAUAAAAUGGAU
Molecule: long non-coding RNA, 1349 nt
Filed under: Sorghum bicolor (sorghum)
Lineage: Eukaryota; Viridiplantae; Streptophyta; Magnoliopsida; Poales; Poaceae
Description: long non-coding RNA (SBIC_LNC010709)
Source: RNAcentral